GGUUGGUGUCCUGCAAACUCCGAGCAAGAGGCCCAUCCAUUCCAUCCUCCGCGAACCCAAGCCCAGGAUUCUCUACCUUUCAACUAUUAAAUGCUUUGCUCUGCUUCCAAACUUUGUAUUAAAUGCAGCAGCUGGAAAAAUCCACCCACCAAAAAAAUCUCCCCUAAUCCUUGCCCUUUCUCCUUCAGAUGGAUUCCUUCAAUACCUCUUUAACCCCAAAUGUCCACCGCCACCACCGCUACUCCUCCCUCCACUUACCUCACCAAUCUCGGUCUUGGCUACUCAAUAGCCAUAGCCCUUGGUUUCCUCGUCCUCUUAUCCACUAUCCUCCUCGCCUUCUACGUCUGCUGUCGCAACUCUCGCAACCGCUCCCGCAAUAUAAACAAUAACGACAACGACAACCCAAAUUUUCCCUCCGAUGGCAUAAUACUCCCUCGCAUUAUCUUCGUGGCAGAAGAAGAGGAUGACCUGGAACGUGACCAAGAAAGUUCAGCGGUUGGCCUCGACCAGGCGGUAAUAAAUUCAUAUCCUAAAUUUCAGUUCACUAAAGAUGGGAGUUUGGAUGGGAAUAGUACUACUUGUUCGAUCUGUUUGUGCGAGUACAAGGAUUUGGAGAUGUUAAGAAUGAUGCCGGAGUGCAGGCAUUAUUUUCACUUAUGUUGUAUCGAUGCUUGGUUGAAGCUGAAUGGGUCGUGUCCUGUUUGUCGGAAUUCACCGCUUCCAACUCCGCUUUCUACACCCUUAUCGGAGGUCGUGCCGUUGUCCCAGUACGCGGAGGAUCGAAGGAGGAGGAGGUGAUUUGAGUUUGUUUGAUUGUUUGUGAACUGGUGGUGAGUGAUUCGGGGAUCUUGAUUGGUGUGUUUUGGGAUUAGGAUUGUAAAUUGUUUUUUCUUUUUUUGGUUUCUGAGUAGGCAUAGCUAGUGGGAUUUUGGAUUUUCAUUUUUGUUACAGAUGAUUUGUGAUUUUGGUUUGCCAUGGCAGAGAAUGGAAAAACAGAAUACUUGCUGAUCUUUGUAGUGUAAGAAUUGGGUUUUACUGUUUCAUUACAUUGAGGUGAACUAAACAAUUCCCCCCUAUAGUUUUUUUUUUUUUUUUC
Molecule: unclassified non-coding RNA, 1096 nt
Filed under: Hevea brasiliensis (rubber tree)
Lineage: Eukaryota; Viridiplantae; Streptophyta; Magnoliopsida; Malpighiales; Euphorbiaceae
Source: RNAcentral